UGAGGCAGGAGAAUUGCUUGAACCCAGGAGGUGGAGGCUGCAGUGAGCUGAGAUUGUGCCACUGUACUCCAGCCUGGGCAACAUAGCGAGACUC
Molecule: microRNA precursor, 94 nt
Filed under: Cebus imitator (Panamanian white-faced capuchin)
Lineage: Eukaryota; Metazoa; Chordata; Mammalia; Primates; Cebidae
Description: miRNA (ENSCCAG00000015757.1)
Source: RNAcentral